Molecule: unclassified non-coding RNA, 235 nt
Filed under: Funneliformis mosseae
Lineage: Eukaryota; Fungi; Glomeromycota; Glomeromycetes; Glomerales; Glomeraceae
Description: partial contains 5.8S ribosomal RNA and internal transcribed spacer 2
Rfam family: 5.8S ribosomal RNA (bases 1-71)
Source: RNAcentral
GUGAAUCAUCAAAUCUUUGAACGCAAAUUGCACUCCCUUGUAUUCCGGGGAGUAUUCCUGUUUGAGGGUCGUUAGAAUAAAAAUCGAUGCGUCGCUCUUUUUUUGAAGGGUGAUCGCUUCGGAAUUGAGCCGUCUUUCAAACUUUAAUUCAUGUCAAAGUGGCUUGGAUUUCAUCCAUCCGGUUCGAUUGAAGCUUAUUUAAGAUCAAUUUUGAUUGAUAACGCGCGAGUACGUA